GCGUCGGCUGGGCAUAGGCGAGCCCAACUGCCUGUAAAGCAGCCAGCCCGAAAGGCUAUGCAGGUCCAAUUCCUGCCCGGCGCA
Molecule: transfer RNA, 84 nt
Filed under: Candidatus Anammoximicrobium sp.
Lineage: Bacteria; Pseudomonadati; Planctomycetota; Planctomycetia; Pirellulales; Pirellulaceae
Description: tRNA-Tyr
Rfam family: tRNA
About the family: Transfer RNA (tRNA) molecules are approximately 80 nucleotides in length. Their secondary structure includes four short double-helical elements and three loops (D, anti-codon, and T loops).
Source: RNAcentral